RNAcentral lists this ribosomal RNA (493 nucleotides) under Cardiodactylus manus. Its description in RNAcentral is "partial large subunit ribosomal RNA". It matches the Rfam family "Bacterial large subunit ribosomal RNA", at positions 1832 to 2582 of the family's 2925-position model. The record is from RNAcentral. Lineage: Eukaryota; Metazoa; Arthropoda; Insecta; Orthoptera; Gryllidae.
CUUCUUGACUUUAUAUUAGAAGUCGGGCCUGUCCACUGAAAUACAUUUAAAGGACCGCGGUAUAUUGACCGUGCAAAGGUAGCAUAAUCAUUAGUUUUUUAAUUGAGAACUGGAAUGAAUGGUUUGACGAAAUAAUUAGUGUCUCUAAUAUAAUUAAUUGAAAUUUACUUUUAAGUUAAAAGGCUUAAAUAUUAAUAAGGGACGAUAAGACCCUAUAGAUCUUUAUAAUAAUCUUAUUAUUAUUGUUUUGGUUGAGUUUUGAUAUUUUAAUAAUUUUAUUAUUUCGUUGGGGUGAUGUGAGAAUAUAAAAACUUCUUGAUUUUUAACUUUGAUAAUUGAAUUUAAAAUCCUAUAUUUAUGGAAUAAAGAUUAAGAUACCUUAGGGAUAACAGCGUAAUUUUAUUGGAAAGUUCUUAUUGAUAAUAGGGAUUGCGACCUCGAUGUUGGAUUAAGAAUAUAAAUUGGUGUAGAUGCUAAUAUUAUUGGUCUGUUC